AAUCCCGCUGCUGCCACUGGCUGGAGACCUCUGAUGCUUCUUUACACCCCGGGUUGGACAUCUUCCCCCACCUACUUCUGGCGCUUCUUCUGGUGGGCCGGCCUGUCUUUGGAUUCUUGAGAUGUAUGGGUUCUUCCUACCUCCACCCUCUGUCCGAGCUUAGAAUCAGCAGCCCUGCAGCCCCCUGUCAGUCCACAUCCUUGAAUUUAAUCUGUUUAUCAUCCAUAAUGCAAUCUCCAAUCCAAGUCUAAGUUAUUCUCGUAACUACCUUGGCCACAUUGACAACCGUAAAUUCUCCUUCCCACGUGGCAGCCUUGAAUUGUGGGGAACUUGAUGGCACCUCACAGUGUCAGCAGUGCAGCACAGCAUGGGCGGAGAACAUGUAGCAAUCCCUGCAUUGAACAAAUUCACACUGGUGCUUCGAAAUUGGAAAUGGUAUAGGUAUUAACACCACGGAAAUCAGAAAAGGCUUGGUUGGAGUCAUCUGAGAAGAGGGAACCCCAGCUGAGAAAAUUCCUCCAUAAGAUUGAACUGCAGAAGAGACUGUGUGUUCUUAAUUAGUGAUUGAUAUGGGAGAGCCCUGCCAAUUGUGGGUGGAGUCAUCCCUUCGUUGGUGGUCCUGAGUUCUGUGAGAAAGCAGGUUGAGCAAGCCAUGGGGAGCAAGCCAUCAACCCCCUUUUAGAGUGUGGAACACCAGAGCAGGUGCCGUAUAGACUGCGACGGCAGUAAUUGCCAAGUCUGACAAAGAGAGGAAGAACGGUGGUUCUGUGCUCAAAUGCCAGAAGAGAACGGAAACAAAUAAUCUUGGGUGCAACGAUCUGCCCUUGAGAGUUCAGCCACCAAAGUCCAGCCAUGGAUGUGUUUCCUGUGAUCCUGACCAUGUGACUCGAUUGCGCUUCCUCACUUCCAUUAUUGUUGGUUCAGCAGAAAGUAUUUUAAAACUAGUUUAUCUUUGACAUGGCCCCAGGGUCUGAUAAUACUGCUGCCAUAAUAACAAAGGUAAAUGAGAGGAAGUUUUGUUCAGUGAGAAGAUCACUUAGUUUGUACCGUGGAGCUCUGCUGCUUCUAGUCCCUCUAAGAUUCAAAUACACCUCAAUUAUCCAAACUUUAUACUGUUUCCAAAAAAAUAAAAAUAAAAUGUAUGCUUGUGUUUAUUCUUCC
Long non-coding RNA from Mesocricetus auratus (golden hamster), 1161 nucleotides. RefSeq lists it as uncharacterized. NCBI's taxonomy places the organism in Eukaryota, Metazoa, Chordata, Mammalia, Rodentia, Cricetidae. The record is from RefSeq and is a predicted model, not a curated record. The transcript is spliced from 3 exons.